UACCUUCUACCUUUCUCGAUCGAUCCCCACUCCCAUUAUCCAAGGUUCUUACCCACUACAACGUUCUCUCUCAUACUCUCCAAAUCCACUCCAAAGUUCUCCUCCUGUUCCCCAAAUUCUCCCCAUCGUUCUUCACUCUUCCACUAAAAAUCAAUUUUUUUCUCCACUCUUCCUCAAACUUUGCAACAGAGAUCUAUCUUUUUAGGAAAACUCGUGCAACCAAGAAGCAAGUUCUCGACGAUGAAGAGGUCCCUCCUCCCCUACCUCUUUCACAAACUAGCCCAAGUUGUAAUUGAAUUGAAAACUCGAUGAUUUAUAUUUCACUACUGUAUACCUUUAUAUAAGGUUUGUU
RNAcentral lists this long non-coding RNA (352 nucleotides) under Zostera marina. RNAcentral describes it as "long non-coding RNA (ZMAR_LNC002820)". The record is from RNAcentral. Lineage: Eukaryota; Viridiplantae; Streptophyta; Magnoliopsida; Alismatales; Zosteraceae.